CAAUUACCUCCUGGAAAACCUGAGAUCUUUAAAUGUCGUUCUCCCAAUAAGGAAACAUUCACCUGCUGGUGGAGGCCUGGGACAGAUGGAGGACUUCCUACCAAUUAUUCACUGACUUACCACAGGGAAGGAGAGACACUCAUGCAUGAAUGUCCAGACUACAUAACCGGUGGCCCCAACUCCUGCCACUUUGGCAAGCAGUACACCUCCAUGUGGAGGACAUACAUCAUGAUGGUCAAUGCCACUAACCAGAUGGGAAGCAGUUUCUCGGAUGAACUUUAUGUGGACGUGACUUACAUAGUUCAACCAGACCCUCCUUUGGAGCUGGCUGUGGAAGUAAAACAGCCAGAAGACAGAAAACCCUACCUGUGGAUUAAAUGGUCUCCACCUACCCUGAUUGACUUAAAAACUGGUUGGUUCACGCUCCUGUAUGAAAUUCGAUUAAAACCCGAGAAAGCAGCUGAGUGGGAGAUCCAUUUUGCUGGGCAGCAAACAGAGUUUAAGAUUCUCAGCCUACAUCCAGGACAGAAAUACCUUGUCCAGGUUCGCUGCAAACCAGACCAUGGAUACUGGAGCGCGUGGAGUCCAGCGACCUUCAUUCAGAUACCUAGUGCAUGGUGACCUGCAUCUUUCCGCCAGUUCCUGGGCCAAAAAUAAAAGGAUUUGAUG
Molecule: small RNA, 669 nt
Filed under: Pan troglodytes (chimpanzee)
Lineage: Eukaryota; Metazoa; Chordata; Mammalia; Primates; Hominidae
Description: processed transcript
Source: RNAcentral